AACGCAUAUUGCGCCCGAGGCUUCGGCCGAGGGCAUGUCUGCCUCAGCGUCGGCGCACCCCCUCGUGGCCCUCCCCCGUUGUACUGCGGGGGCAGGGCCGCGGAUGUGGCCGCCUCGCAGCGCCGCUGCGGGCCGGCUGAAGCGAAGAGGUUUGAGCAGCGACCCCGUUCGAGGGCCGACGGCUUGGUAGGUUGGAUCGCCCAGCAUAUCGCCGCCGCCCGAGAGGUCCUGCUGGGAACCAGAGCGGAUGUUUUCCUCCCUCGCAAGAGGCGAGGAGAUCCCUCGACCAAAUUCAUCACUCUUCGACCUGAGCUCAGGCAAGACUACCCGCUGAACUUAA
RNAcentral lists this unclassified non-coding RNA (340 nucleotides) under uncultured fungus. RNAcentral's name for it is "partial contains 5.8S ribosomal RNA, internal transcribed spacer 2, and large subunit ribosomal RNA". The record is from RNAcentral. Lineage: Eukaryota; Fungi.